This 95-nucleotide ribosomal RNA is filed under the name Gossypium arboreum. The record is from RNAcentral. Lineage: Eukaryota; Viridiplantae; Streptophyta; Magnoliopsida; Malvales; Malvaceae.
GGGUGCGAUCAUACAAGCACCAAUGCACCGGAUCCCAUCAGAACUCCGCAGUUAAGCGUGCUUGGGCGAGAGUUGUACUAGGAUGGGUGACCUCC